GACGAACGCCGGGCGGCGUGCCUAAUACAUGCAAGUAGGACGCACAGUUUAUACCGUAGCUUGCUACACCAUAGACUGUGAGUUGCGAACGGGUGAGUAACGCGUAGGUAACCUACCUAUUAGAGGGGGAUAACUAUUGGAAACGAUAGCUAAUACCGCAUAACAGUAUGUAACACAUGUUAGAUGCUUGAAAGAUGCAAUUGCAUCGCUAGUAGAUGGACCUGCGUUGUAUUAGCUAGUAGGUAGGGUAAAGGCCUACCUAGGCAACGAUACAUAGCCGACCUGAGAGGGUGAUCGGCCACACUGGGACUGAGACACGGCCCAGACUCCUACGGGAGGCAGCAGUAGGGAAUCUUCGGCAAUGGGGGGAACCCUGACCGAGCAACGCCGCGUGAGUGAAGAAGGUUUUCGGAUCGUAAAGCUCUGUUGUUAAGGAAGAACGAGUGUGAGAAUGGAAAGUUCAUGCUGUGACGGUACUUAACCAGAAAGGGACGGCUAACUACGUGCCAGCAGCCGCGGUAAUACGUAGGUCCCGAGCGUUGUCCGGAUUUAUUGGGCGUAAAGCGAGCGCAGGCGGUUAGAAAAGUCUGAAGUGAAAGGCAGUGGCUCAACCAUUGUAGGCUUUGGAAACUGUUUAACUUGAGUGCAGAAGGGGAGAGUGGAAUUCCAUGUGUAGCGGUGAAAUGCGUAGAUAUAUGGAGGAACACCGGUGGCGAAAGCGGCUCUCUGGUCUGUAACUGACGCUGAGGCUCGAAAGCGUGGGGAGCGAACAGG
RNAcentral lists this ribosomal RNA (774 nucleotides) under Streptococcus anginosus. RNAcentral describes it as "bacterial SSU rRNA". It matches the Rfam family "Bacterial small subunit ribosomal RNA", at positions 28 to 776 of the family's 1533-position model. The record is from RNAcentral. Lineage: Bacteria; Bacillati; Bacillota; Bacilli; Lactobacillales; Streptococcaceae.